This is a long non-coding RNA of Stegostoma tigrinum, 686 nucleotides long. RefSeq lists it as uncharacterized. The transcript is spliced from 2 exons. The record is from RefSeq and is a predicted model, not a curated record. NCBI's taxonomy places the organism in Eukaryota, Metazoa, Chordata, Chondrichthyes, Orectolobiformes, Stegostomatidae.
AUUGUUACAGAUGUAGACACUUCAUGACAAACAUAUCGUGACAUAGAUGAGGAAACAUACAAGGAAACACAGAAUAAUGAUGCAGGGCCAGCAGAAGUUGGGUGUGCAAGUGAUGAGUUGAUUCCAAGAUCAAUGCGACUACUUUGCUACCAGCUUUAUAAAAGACUGCUUUGCAACACAAUAUAGAUUCUUGUAGGCCUCUUUUCCAACCCUGGAUUUAAAUCACCUGCACGGAUGUGGAGAGAUAUUGUUAUUAGAGACUGUGAGGCACUUUGGGUCAAAGUAAGUCAUCCAGGAUUUGAGUGAUCGGUGAAUGGAUCUGAGAAAGGGAUGAAAUUUGCAGCAACAGUAAAGAAAUUGUGACAAGAAUUGAAGGAAAUAGAGAACUUUGGAUGACAAGCACCACAAUAGAAGUUCUCAGUAAGAAGACAGCAUGCAAGAAGCCAAGAUUGGGAAUCCAGGAGACUAGAGAAAACAAAAUGCAAAAGCAGAUUCUCUCCAAGUGUCUGUAUGAAAAACUUAAAACAGUUCUGUAUUGUUAUGAUUUGGAAUGAAAAUAAAUAAUAUGACAGCAUAUUAUCCUGAAUAGCUCUAUGUCUGUAUUUGAAAAUGUGAAAAGCGUUUGUCAAUUUUUCCCAUUACAGUAUGUUGAUGCACAAAUAAAUCAUCAUUGAUGAGUUUGUAAA